RNAcentral lists this ribosomal RNA (491 nucleotides) under uncultured bacterium. RNAcentral describes it as "partial 16S ribosomal RNA". It matches the Rfam family "Bacterial small subunit ribosomal RNA", at positions 29 to 507 of the family's 1533-position model. The record is from RNAcentral.
AGUGAACGCUGGCGGUAGGCCUAACACAUGCAAGUCGAACGGCAGCACAGUAAGAGCUUGCUCUUACGGGUGGCGAGUGGCGGACGGGUGAGGAAUACAUCGGAAUCUACUUUUUCGUGGGGGAUAACGUAGGGAAACUUACGCUAAUACCGCAUACGACCUACGGGUGAAAGCAGGGGAUCUUCGGACCUUGCGCGAUUGAAUGAGCCGAUGUCGGAUUAGCUAGUUGGCGGGGUAAAGGCCCACCAAGGCGACGAUCCGUAGCUGGUCUGAGAGGAUGAUCAGCCACACUGGAACUGAGACACGGUCCAGACUCCUACGGGAGGCAGCAGUGGGGAAUAUUAGACAAUGGGCGCAAGCCUGAUCCAGCCAUACCGCGUGGGUGAAGAAGGCCUUCGGGUUGUAAGCCCUUUUGUUGGGAAAGAAAAGCAGCAGGUUAAUACCCCGCUGUUCUGACGGUACCCAAAGAAUAAGCACCGGCUAACUUCGUG